Molecule: ribosomal RNA, 404 nt
Filed under: Fusobacteriota bacterium
Lineage: Bacteria; Fusobacteriati; Fusobacteriota
Description: Fusobacteria bacterium partial 16S ribosomal RNA
Rfam family: Bacterial small subunit ribosomal RNA
Source: RNAcentral
UGGGGAAUAUUGCACAAUGGAGGGAACUCUGAUGCAGCGACGCCGCGUGAGUUAUGAAGGACUUCGUUUCGUAAAACUCUGUUCUAUGGGAAGAAAAGGACUGUACCAUAGGAGAAAGCUCCGGCUAAAUACGUGCCAGCAGCCGCGGUAAUACGUAUGGAGCGAGCGUUUUCGGGAAUUAUUGGGCGUAAAGGGUGCGCAGGCGGCUUUACAAGUUGGAUGUGAAAUAUUGUGGCUCAACCACAAACGUGCAUCCAAAACUGCAAAGCUUGAGUUAAGGAGAGGUAAGUGGAAUUCCUGGUGUAGCGGUGGAAUGCGUAGAUAUCAGGAGGAAUACCGGUGGCGAAGGCGACUUACUGGAAUUAAACUGACGCUCAGGCACGAAAGCGUGGGGAGCAAACAGG